AGCAGUCGCCGCGGGAAUACGAAGGGCGCAAGCGUUAAUCGGAAUUACUGGGCGUAAAGCGUGCGUAGGCGGUUUGUUAAGUCUGUUGUGAAAUCCCCGGGCUCAACCUGGGAAUGGCAAUGGAUACUGGCAAGCUAGAGUGUGUCAGAGGAUGGUGGAAUUCCCGGUGUAGCGGUGAAAUGCGUAGAGAUCGGGAGGAACAUCAGUGGCGAAGGCGGCCAUCUGGGACAACACUGACGCUGAGGCACGAAAGCGUGGGGAGCAAACAGGAUUAGAUACCCGUGUAGUCCCUGUCUCUUAUAC
RNAcentral lists this ribosomal RNA (303 nucleotides) under uncultured bacterium. RNAcentral describes it as "partial 16S ribosomal RNA". It matches the Rfam family "Bacterial small subunit ribosomal RNA", at positions 507 to 807 of the family's 1533-position model. The record is from RNAcentral.